Molecule: ribosomal RNA, 494 nt
Filed under: uncultured Chlamydiae bacterium
Lineage: Bacteria; Pseudomonadati; Chlamydiota; Chlamydiia
Description: bacterial SSU rRNA
Rfam family: Bacterial small subunit ribosomal RNA
Source: RNAcentral
UCGAGAAUCAUUCGCAAUGGGCGAAAGCCUGACGAUGCGACGCCGUGUGAGCGAAGAAGGCCUUCGGGUUGUAAAGCUCUUUCGCUUAGGAACAAGAGAGGUUGGCUAAUAUCCAGCUAAUUUGAGUGUACUAGGUAAAGAAGCACCGGCUAACUCCGUGCCAGCAGCUGCGGUAAUACGGAGGGUGCAAGCAUUAAUCGGAUUUAUUGGGCGUAAAGGGCGCGUAGGCGGAGAUACAAGUCAGAUGUGAAAUCCUGGGGCUCAACCUCAGAACUGCAUUUGAAACUGUAUCCCUAGAGGGUAGAAGGAGAAAACGGAAUUCCACAAGUAGCGGUGAAAUGCGUAGAUAUGUGGAAGAACACCGGUGGCGAAGGCGGUUUUCUAUUUUAUUCCUGACGCUGAGGCGCGAAAGCAAGGGGAUCAAACAGGAUUAGAUACCCUGGUAGUCCUUGCCGUAAACGAUGUAUACUUGGUGUAGCUGGACUCAACCCUAG